Molecule: long non-coding RNA, 247 nt
Organism: Cololabis saira (Pacific saury)
Lineage: Eukaryota; Metazoa; Chordata; Actinopteri; Beloniformes; Belonidae
Exons: 3
Source: RefSeq, a predicted model, not a curated record
GGAAUCGGUCAUCCUUACCGAUGGUCAGGGAAACCAGAUCUAGGACACAGAGGGAACCAGAGGAUCCGCAUUUUGGAAGCAAAAUGCAAUGAAAGUUUGUGCUGUGAAGGAAGGAGAUUUGCAGCAGUUACAAGGAAGCAAAAAGAGGAGACUCAGUCGGUGAGAUGAUAAUGGUGUAGAUGCAGUGUUCGAUACAAUUGAAGAGGUGGUCCAGGCAGCACAGGGUCUUCAGGAGGUGUCAGCUACA